Molecule: long non-coding RNA, 1195 nt
Filed under: Brassica rapa (field mustard)
Lineage: Eukaryota; Viridiplantae; Streptophyta; Magnoliopsida; Brassicales; Brassicaceae
Description: long non-coding RNA (BRAP_LNC005920)
Source: RNAcentral
GCAUUUCAUUAUUACAUACUCCGCUAUACUCAGAAUGAAGGUGCAAGACGGGUUUGUUAUAACUUAUAAAGAGUAAUACAUAUAAGUACAAUGUUCUUUUUAUUUCACAAAGUAAUACCGAUAAUAAUUAAAGUUUAUCUUUAUAUAGAUAAAGCGUCUUAUUAUCUCUCUUCCGAGUUGACUAACAUGUUACACUCAGACAGAGACACCAGUCUAACACGUUCUUAGAUCAAACUAAACCAAGAACCCCUCUGACCUCCUCAUGAUUCCUAGCCCUUAUAUUUUGUGUCUACCCUUAUUCGACACCAAAACCCUUAUGGUUACGACCUUCUUUUGAGGUGUUACAUAAUCCUAGGCACGUCUUUCUCUACUUAUACUUGUAGAUUUCGUGGCUUGCCUUAACCAACUUCCCAAGGAAGAGAUAUUACCAUAUCUUCCUUUCUGGAAUAUUUCCAAAUCUUCUUCAAAGUCUUUUGGAAAUCUUCGCUUGAUGAUUUACAUUUUCUCCAAAGUAAAUCAUAGCUUGCUUAGCCUCUAAGUAGUCUUUACUUCAGCUCUAAGUCGGCUCCAAUUUCAGUCUUCAAGUCAGCUACACAGCUUAACUUCAGUUUCAUUUCACGUAGCACUUCUUGUACGACUUCAUGUAGUACUUCACGACUGGUACAUGGACACUCCGAGGAGUUGUUUUUCUUCAGCUUCUAAAACUCAAUCGUCACUACACUAACAAUCUGCCCCUUGAUGAUUGAGUUAUAGAAUACAACACCCAUACACUGCUUUAGCGCCCAUACACUGCUUCAGCUCAGCCACCAUGCUUCAUGCAGUACUUUGUCUUAAGUCUUCCCUCUUGCCUUCAGGAUUUUCAAUAGUGACUUAAGUGACCUGCUCUGAUACCAAUUGAAGGUGCAAGAUGAGUCUGUUACAAAGAGUAAUACAUACAAGUACAAUGCUCUUUUUUAUUUUACAAAGUACUAUAGUAGGAUAACAAUGAAGGUUUAUCUUUACAUAGAUAAAGUGCCGUACUAGCUCCCUUACGAGUUGACUAACAUGUCAUACUCAGAUAGAGGCACCAGCCUAAUACAUUCCUAGAUCAAACUAACCCAAGAACCCCUCUGACCUCCUCAUGACCCCUAGCCCUUAUGUUAUGUGUCUACUACUCUCAUUCGACACCAAAAUCCUUAUGCUUACGGCCUUCUUU